RNAcentral lists this unclassified non-coding RNA (471 nucleotides) under Hevea brasiliensis (rubber tree). Lineage: Eukaryota; Viridiplantae; Streptophyta; Magnoliopsida; Malpighiales; Euphorbiaceae. The record is from RNAcentral.
GCCUUUAAUAACAGUGAUAAAAAUAAAUAAACAUAUUAUUUUAUAAAAUUUAUUGUCUAAAAAAAGAUUUUUAAUGGGUCAAUUUACUUUGGGCCUAAAUAUUUUACAAAAUUUACUUCAUUGCAUAAGGGUUGGGCUUUCAUUUAUGGCCCAUAAAUUAUGGGCCAAUUCGCUUUCCAUUGACCGGGUCAAUGGUUCAACUGGCCAAGUCACUGGAUUUUCACUAUUUAUCCGGUUCAACUGAAAACCCAGUCCGUUUAGUGUCCAGGUGAUUAAUAACACAGAUCCAUAAGACUAAAGAUCCAAGCAAAUGUUUGCAUAAGACCAGCCAGGAAACUGUGAAUGGGCAGUUGAGCUCCAACCUUGGUGAGGGAAAGUUUGGACAGAAGUCAUCAACAAUAACAUGUAUUUGAUAUGAUUAUAGAAAAGGAUACUGAUGACUUAAAAGGGCCUCUUGCCAUAACAUAAAAU